RNAcentral lists this ribosomal RNA (440 nucleotides) under uncultured bacterium. RNAcentral's name for it is "partial 16S ribosomal RNA". It matches the Rfam family "Bacterial small subunit ribosomal RNA", at positions 338 to 795 of the family's 1533-position model. The record is from RNAcentral.
CCUACGGGAGGCAGCAGUGGGGAAUAUUGCACAAUGGGGGAAACCCUGAUGCAGCGACGCCGCGUGAGUGAAGAAGUAUUUCGGUACGUAAAGCUCUAUCAGCAGGGAAGAAAAUGACGGUACCUGACUAAGAAGCCCCGGCUAUCUACGUGCCAGCAGCCGCGGUAAUACGUAGGGGGCAAGCGUUAUCCGGAUUUACUGGGUGUAAAGGGAGCGUAGACGGCAGCGCAAGUCUGGAGUGAAAUCCCAUGGCUUAACCAUGGAACUGCUUUGGAAACUGUGCAGCUAGAGUGCAGGAGAGGUAAGCGGAAUUCCUAGUGUAGCGGUGAAAUGCGUAGAUAUUAGGAGGAACCCCAGUGGCGAAGGCGGCUUACUGGACUGUAACUGACGUUGAGGCUCGAAAGCGUGGGGAGCAAACAGGAUUAGAUACCCUAGUAGUC